AAUGGGGCGUGUGUGUUCCCAUCAUGCCCCUUCCCCUCUGCCGGCAGAGCUGAGGACAGACAGGUCUGAGGAGCAGAGCAGGAGCUCUGGGAAGGAGAAGAGCAAUAUGAAGAUGGCGUCUAAGAUGAGGCCAGCAAGGGAAAAGAAGUCGUGGGGACGGAGUCCAGCCCUGAGGUGAGAUGGAAAGUGAUCGAGAGCAGUGACAGCGUGAAUCCUGUUGAUGCCAGGCAAGACCUGCCCAACUGGGACAAGAGUAACCGUCUCUGUCGAACUUGGCUUUUCCUAGGAAGGGCCAUGUACUGCCUGGGACUGAAGGAGCAACUUCUUCACGUGCCCACUGGUCUCUCAGUCAGGAUUAAGAAAGGCCUCUGGGAGCUGCAGCAAACUGCUGCAUGACAACUUGCAAGGAGAAGAAAAAGAAGCUCUCCUUCAAGCCAGAGUCAGAAGGGCGACGUCAGGAUGACUUCCUGAGUGCCGGCUCCAGUCCUUUGCUCUGCCAGCUGACCUAUCGAAGGGCUGCCACCUCUCUCUCCAGAAAUAUGUUAUGAGGUUGGGAAAUGUCCACCACCAGCCUUUCAGGUGUGACAAUGGAGGAGCCUGACUCCCUUCUGGCCCAUUGAAGGUAUC
This is a long non-coding RNA of Gopherus flavomarginatus (Mexican gopher tortoise), 627 nucleotides long. RefSeq lists it as uncharacterized. Lineage: Eukaryota; Metazoa; Chordata; Testudines; Testudinidae. The transcript has 5 exons. The record is from RefSeq and is a predicted model, not a curated record.